GUAAUAUUGUGAUUAAUAACUAUUCCUUAACUCAUAGUAGUUGACAAGUUUUCCUCAUGUUAAUAGCUGUCAGUUUCAGAUGGAUUUUACUCUCACUCUAGUGUCCUUGUUGUGGACAGAAUAUUAGCUAAAGUAAAAUGCCUAUUUGCUCUGCAUAACAAUAAUCAGUAUUAUUCAGUGACUACUCAAAAUGGCCGCUGGGAGUCACUCC
Non-coding RNA from Pelobates cultripes (western spadefoot toad), 211 nucleotides. Lineage: Eukaryota; Metazoa; Chordata; Amphibia; Anura; Pelobatidae. The record is from the annotation of a GenBank genome assembly.